GGAUGUGAGGGCAAUCUGGCUGCAAUUUCUGUCACCCCAUUGAUCACCAAGGUUGAUUUGGCUGAUCUGGCUGGCUAGGCGGGUGACCCCUUCCUCCCUAACCAUGCCAUGUGCAUCCCUCCCAAAGCUGUGGCCUUGGUGGAAGAAAAGACCAUCCCCCAUAGAGGACCAGUUUUCGUUCAAGGGUUUAUGCGUAGCUGCACUACCUUGCUAGAACCUCCAAACAAGCUCUCAAAAAUCCAUGUUUAACUUGAUUUUCUACCAUCAACCUCAUCCUUUUCUAAAAAUUAAA
RNAcentral lists this small nuclear RNA (292 nucleotides) under Saimiri boliviensis boliviensis (Bolivian squirrel monkey). RNAcentral describes it as "7SK RNA (ENSSBOG00000002074.1)". It matches the Rfam family "7SK RNA". From Rfam's summary of the family: 7SK was discovered as an abundant small nuclear RNA in the mid-70s but a possible function has only recently been suggested. The record is from Rfam by way of RNAcentral. Lineage: Eukaryota; Metazoa; Chordata; Mammalia; Primates; Cebidae.